CAUACAAAUAUGGAUGUGCCAGCCUGCCAGGCCCAAAGCCGGAGACUUCAAAUAUGAAACUCUGUGGAUCAGAGGCAUUUAACCCACCAAAUAAUUUUCAGAGAACCUUUCUUAGGGGUUUCUGUUUAAGGCUUAUCUUAGAAAGUACCCUGGAGGAACAACCAGAUGAUUUAUUUCUAAAUGAGCAGUAUCAAAAUUGUUAUACUCAUGCAGGUAGAGUGAAAUUCUCAUUUUGCUUUGGUUACAAAGCUAGCCAUAGCAGUCACAGAAUACAAAGCUCCAGUUUUCAAGAGUGUGCUUAACCAUACUCCUUCUACCUUUGAAGACACUAUUCUACAAUGCUGAUGGGUAACAAUUCAUUGUUAUCUACAAACAUCCAAAAAUGAGCAGUGUUUAUAAAACUAAGUAAGCUUCUAAAACAGUGCCUUAAGCAUGCAAAUAUUCAAGUUCUAAACUUAUCCUAAAGAGUCAUCAUUAUGACUUACACAGAGAUAGGUGUAAUGGCAUUCAACAGUAUUGGUAGUUCAAAGAGAAGUAGUUUGAUGGUAACUUGAGGGUUCAAAAGGUUUUCCAAAAAAUCAGGAGAAAACCUUUCCAAAGAAGCAAAGUUUUAAGGUCCAAUUUUCUGAAAUACCUAUCUAAUUAUCCUAGAGAGCCAAAAGAAGUGGCUUCUGUAACACCAGACUAUCACCACUUUAUUUCUCCUCCCUGCCCCUAACUACUGAAUUUUUUAUUAAAGCCAUAAGCUGCGAUGGAACCUAACCUCUGUGCCCCUUCAAUGUGGAACAUGUGGUCAUCAAAGAAGAUGUGGGGCCGGAUCUUCACCAAGAUGGGACUUUUGGGGGCUCCAGCAAGGAAAAGAGCUUCGUCUAUCUCUAGACCCCAGCGUCGAAGGGUCUUCAGCACACGGGCGCCUGAACUGGCUGCACUCCUAGCUGUAACCAGCCAUCAUCCAUGGAAAGUCCAGAUUAGCCUCCUGGAUGGAUUUGUGAGAAGCAGAGCCUCUCCUCCAAGCCAGAGAAGCCAUUGUGUACCAGCUCGCCCUAUUAGCAUACCAUGUGCCCAGGAGUAAACAGUGCCCAGAGAUGCUCUCUGCACCACACCACCACUGCUGGGGUCGGGGAGCGGAGUUGGUGAUCCAGGAAUGUUUUCCUGUUUCUUCAGUGCCUCUUUCAGUGAUAUGAAGUUAAAACCAGGUACUGUGAGUGCUCACCUGAUUUUUGGUUCUUAUGAAUGUGUUUUUUUUCUGUGUAGAUAGUUCUUAACUUGGUGUACUUGUGUGGGGGGUGAUCUGUGGAGCUUUCUAUUACAUCUUGAUCUGCCUCUCCCCAAACUUGGGCAUAUUACAUGUGGGAAAAUUCUAUUAUUGUACUCUUGAGUGUAAAAUAUGGUUUAAAGGACCCCAGAAUUCUUUUCAGCUGUGUAAGUUAUUUAAAAUAACAUUUUUAUUACAGAUAAAAUUAAGCAAAGUGAAGACAAGUGAUUUUUGUUCUCUAGUAUCUUGUAGCACUACUAUGAUGUGUUUCUCUGCAAAGUUGCUCUUGAUAUCUAUAUAGCUAAUCUUUCCAACUCUUCCUUUACUGUUUCCUAGCCAUGUAUUUAGCCUUUCUCUUUCACUCACCAACACAGGUACUAGUGACCUUCCUACUUAAAGUAAUGCUCAAAAAUGGCCAAUGAAACUGUGACACAAAUAGCAACAGCAAAGCAAAUCUAAAAGUAAUAGGCUGUCAGCGACUUGAAAUAUUCUCUCAAGAUAAAAACAUGUGAGGGGAGCAAGAUGGCCCACAGAAUGAUUCCAGGAUGGUGGGGUGGAUGGAUCACAGAUAAAUCUGGCAAGGUUGAACCCUUCCAUCCUCGCUGCAGGAGGCCAACCCAAAGCCCUGAGCUGGGACCUAUGCUACCCUCUUCUGCUUGUUCUGCAGGGCUGCAACAUGUGUUCUGUGCUCCAUAUUUCACCUGAAAAAAGGGAGGCAGGUGCCAUUGAGAAGCUGGCUAUAAAAUCCUUUGAAACUACAUUGUAGAAUUCCAGAAAGUGAGUUCAGAAAUAUUAAUCCAGCUCCCACAUUUACUGAAGGGGAAACUUGGGAUCAGAAAGGAGCUCUUUAAAGACAUGGACUCUUUAGAUUGUGAGCUCUUUAAAGACAGGGAUUAGUCUUUUUUGUAGCUCUAACAAAUACGUAGCACCUCACACAAAGCGUAUGCUCAGGUACACGUACCUUGAGGUAACAGAUGCCCAGUACUUAAGGAAAGUGUUAAGAUGAAUAUACCCUUGUAAACCCCACACAAAAUGUAACCACAGAAAGAAACUCUCAUUUUUCAGCAAGCUUUACUUACCUAUAGAGUUCCACAGAAUGCAGCUAGGAUUUCAGUUGGGUUAGGAAUGGCCAGAAAUGCCCAGGUGUUCUGGCUGGUGCCCUUGGAUAAGCCCACAGAUUUUCUGGGGAAAUUUAAUCACGUUGACACCUACCUCUGGGACCAGGUGGGCUUGUGGAAUUUUCUGUCUAACAAAGUUCCAUUUAGCAUAUUAAUAUGGAUUUUGAAAAGUGUAUUCUAAUGAACUGUCAGGAAAGCCAAGAUCAGCUAGGCCACUGUUAUCCAAAUCCAAAGAGUGUGAGUGUGUGUGUGUGUGUAUAUAUACAUAUAUAUAAGUGUAUAUAUUUUUUUCUUUUCAUUGUGAGGCAUCUGGAAUGUAGCAGGAAAUUUUGAAGCCAUGGGAUGUUAUAUUUUUUGUUUUUUUCCCUUUUUAGGUUGAAAGCCAAAUUAUGACAAUUUGGGAUUUCUGGAAAUAAUAUUUUACAGUAGUAGUUUUCUGCCCAUUUCAACUAUAAUUUCAAAUUCUCUUUUUGCUCUCAAGGGUACAGUGAUGAAUGGUCCCAGCUGUGUAAUUGUAGUUUUGGGGUUUCUCAGGAGAUGGCACUGGAUCCUAUAAAGGCUCUGUCUUAAUGGUGGUACAAGAACCUUGGCAUGCCCACCUCCUGCAUGUGCUUUUGUUCAUGACAACAUUGCACAUUCGGGGACAACAUUGUGUCCCCGAACUGUAGGCAUGCUCCCUAUUUCGUAUCAGAAGGAAGGUAAGUUUCCCUUCCUGUAUGGGACAGAGACCUAAGCUGGGAGGUUCAGGAAGUUUGAGGAAGUGCCCAAACUUCCGCUACUGGGGACAGAGAUUGGCGUGACACUACUUCUGCCUGGAGAAUCCUAUCCUUCCCCAUCCAACUGAUUCUUUCCUGUCCCCUUCAGAGCUGGCACAGAACACAUUUAAUAAGGAUACAGUUCGAGGAGAAGGACUGCCCUAGUCAAAGGGCUUUUCAGGAAAGUGGCCCUACUCAGACCCCUUCUACAGCUUUGGAAUCAGCACACGCGCUGUCAGCACCCACCUGCAGCAUAUUGAAAGCGUAUUGAAAGCAGCCAGGGUGGCAGCAAGGGGGCGCCACAGCAGAUACACGCAAGUCCCCAUUCUGCAUCCUCAGCCAGAGGUAGCAAACUGGCAGCUUGCUAGCUGGACCUGGCCUCAGGGUGUUUAGUUUGGCUCUCCCAGAGUUGGCCCACACAGUGUUUUAUAUUUGAUUUAUUUGAUUAUAAAAAUGGGGAGAUAUCACAUAAAUGUGUAAAUUUCCAAAAUCUUUUGAAAAACACUUGGGAAAUGCUUGGCUCUUUUCCUUUCAUUUGCAAAAAGGCUGUAAAAGAGCAGGUUUUGCUACCUUUUAUAGAAGCCUGGUAUGAUAUCGUGAUUUAGAAUAAGAAAUAUAUAUUUUGGUCUUUGUUCCCAGUUCCUGAGACAGGGCACCUAGUUCCUUGGAGUGUUCUGGGUGAUAUAAGCAUCUUAUUUUUUUUUCGAAUGAAGUAACUGUUAUCAACAGAAAGACCAAGCAUGAUUAGAAGCUUGGAAUUUGCACCCCACUUCCCAUCCUUCAUGAAGGAGAAAGGGGCUAGAGAUUAAAUUAAUAAUCAAUCAUGCCUAUGUGAUGAAGCUGCCAUAAAAAGUAUUGAACUACAGGGUUUAGAGAGCUUCAAGGAUGGUGAACAAGAAUACGUCCAUGUACCAGAAGGGUUGUGUACCCCUAAGUACAUGGGCACAGAAGUUCCUACACUCAGGACUUUUCCAAACCUUGCCCUAUAUAUGCCUUCAUCUGGCUGUUGAUUGGUAUCCUUUAAAAUAUCCUUUGUAAAAAAUAACAGACACAAAGACUGAUGAAACAGAAUAGAGAACUCAGUAAUAAACCCAAGCAUAUACAAUCAACUAAAUUUUGACAAGACCACCAAUAAAGCAAAAAUGGUGAAAGGAUUCAACAAGUGGAAAUGGGAAAAUUGGGUAUGUACAUGAAAAGAAUGACACUGGAUCCUUAAAUGGUAUCCUACACAAAAAUCAAAUCAAAAUGUAUUAAAAACCUCAGUAUAAGAUCUAAAACUGUAAAAAUUCCUGGAAGAAAAUAUACAGAGGAAAAGCUUCUUGACAUUGCCCUUGGCAAUUAGUUUUUGGAUUUCACAACAAAAGCUCAGUGAAUAAAAACAAAAAUAAAUAAGUGGGACUAUAUCAAACUAAAAAGGUUCUCCAAAUAGCAAAAGAAAAAGACAGCUUAUGGUUUGGGAGACAAUAUUUGCAAACUAUACAUCUGAUAAGAGAUUAACUCCCAAAAUAUAUAAGGAAGUCACACAAUAGCAAAAAAAAAGUUUAAAAAAUGAGCAAAAAUCUGGACAUUUUUCUGAACACAUAAAAAUAUCCAACAGGUAUAUGAAAAGGUGCUCACCAUCAGUAAUCAUCAGAUAAAUAUAAAAACCACAAUGAGAUAUAGUUUCACAUCUGUUAGCAUGGCUAUUAUCAAAAAGACAAGAGAUAGCAAGUGUUGGUGAGAGUCAAAAUUAAAACUCUUGUGACCCAGUGGUUCCUUUUCUGAUUAUAUGCCCCAAAUUAAUGGAAUCAACACCUUGUAGACAUUUCUACACUCUGAUGUGCAUCACAGCUUUAUUCACAAUAGCCAAGAUAAGGAAACAACGUAAGUGUUCAUCAAUAGAUAAAUGGAUAAAGAAAAUGGUAUCUGUCUGUCUAUCCAUCCAUCCAUCCAUCCAUCUUUUUUUUUCAUUAUUGUACUUUAAGUUUUAGGGUACAUGUGCACACUGUGCAGGUUUGUUACAUAUGUAUACAUGUGCCAUGUUGGUGUGCUGCACCCAUUAACUCGUUAUUUAGCAUUAGGUAUAUCUCCUAAUGCUAUCCCUCCCCCCUCCCCCCACCCCACAACAGGACCCAGUGUGUGAUGUUCCCCUUCCUGUGUCCAUGUGUUCUCAUUGUUCAAUCCCACCUAUGAGUGAGAACAUGUGGUGUUUGGUUUUUUGUCCUUGCGAUAGUUUGCUGAGAAUGGUGGUUUCUAGCUUCAUCCAUGUCCCUACAAAGGACAUGAAAUCAUCCUUUUUCAUGGCUGCAUAGUAUUCCAUGGUGUAUAUGUGCCACAUUUUCUUAAUCCAGUCUAUCAUUGUUGGCCAUUUGGGUUGGUUCCAAGUCUUUGCUAUUGUGAAUAGUGCCUCAAUAAACAUACAUGUGCAUGUGUCUUUAUAACAGCAUGAUUUAUAAUCCUUUGGGUAUAUACACAGUAAUGGGAUGGCUGGAUCAAAUGGUAUUUCUAGUUCUAGAUCCCUGAGGAAUUGCCACACUGACUUCCACAAUGGUUGAACUAGUUUACAGUCCCACCAACAGUGUAAAAGUGUUCCUAUUUCUCUACAUCCUCUCCAGCACCUGUUGUUCCCUAACUUUUUAAUGAUCACCAUUCUAACUGGUGUGAGAUGGUAUCUCAUGGUGGUUUUGAUUUGCAUUUCUCUGAUGGCCAGUGAUGAUGAGCAUUUUUUCAUGUGUCUUUUGGCUGCAUAAAUGUCUUCUUUUGAGAAGUGUCUGUUCAUAUCCUUUGCCCACUUGUUGAUGGGGUUGUUUUUUUCUUGUAAAUUUGUUUGAGUUCCUUGUAGAUUCUGGAUAUUAGCCCUUUGUCAGAUGAGUAGAUUGCAAAAAUGUUCUCCCAUUCUGUAGGUUGCCUGUUCACUCUGAUGGUGGUUUCUUUUGCUGUGCAGAAUCUCUUUAGUUUAAUUAGAUCCCAUUUGUCAAUUUUGGCUUUUGUUACCAUUGCUUUUGGUGUUUUAGACAUGAAGUCCUUGCCCAUGCCUAUGUCCUGAAUGGUAUUGCCAAGGUUUUCUUCUAGAGUUUUUAUGGUUUUAGGUCUAACAUUUAAGUCUUUAAUCCAUCUUGAAUUAAUUUUUGUAUAAGGUGUAAGGAAGGUAUCCAGUUUCUUCUUUCUACAUAUGGCUAGCCAGUUUUCCCAGCACCAUUUAUUAAAUAGGGAAUCCUUUCCCCAUUUCUUGUUUUUGUCAGGUUUGUCAAAGAUCAGAUAGUUGUAGAUAUGUGGCAUUAUUUCUGAGGGCUCUGUUCUGUUCCAUUGGUCUAUAUCUCUGUUUUGGUACCAGUACCAUGCUGUUUUGGUUACUGUAGCCUUGUAGUAUAGUUUGAAGUCAGGUAGCAUGAUGCCGCCAGCUUUGUUCUUUUGGCUUAGUAUUGACUUGGAAAUGCGGGCUCUUUUUUGAUUCCCUAUGAACUUUAAAGUAGUUUUUUCCAAUUCUGUGAAGAAAUUCAUUGGUAG
RNAcentral lists this long non-coding RNA (6614 nucleotides) under Homo sapiens (human). Its description in RNAcentral is "HSALNT0300841". Lineage: Eukaryota; Metazoa; Chordata; Mammalia; Primates; Hominidae. The record is from RNAcentral.